Molecule: long non-coding RNA, 600 nt
Organism: Aedes aegypti (yellow fever mosquito)
Lineage: Eukaryota; Metazoa; Arthropoda; Insecta; Diptera; Culicidae
Exons: 3
Source: RefSeq, a predicted model, not a curated record
UGUUGUCUACAUUUUUGUUCCCGCAUCGGUGAUUACGAUAUGGCCAUAGGUCUCCAAGGGUCUAACCUUCCAGCUGCCUUCAAGAAGUGUUCGGAAUCCGAGUCGGAACCAAGAUACAAAACCGAGACAAUAUAGGUUCAGCAAGUGCGGGAAGAUAGAUUGCUCCUCGGUGGAAACGGAAACACUUUUGGCCAGCAUGAUGGCCAGAUGUGUACGGUAUACAUUUGAUCGGGUGAAAAGAAACACCUAGUAACAUCGAACUGUGUUAAUUUUUAUUCUCCCAGCGGACUGGCUAAACUGUGUAUACUGUACCAGUAGAAUGCGGUCACAGAAAUUGUUAACCAAAACGAACAGUUUUGUCACCGGAAGAACUAGUCUUCAACGUUAACCAUUGGAGAGAUGCAAAGCAUAAGAAUAGCAUUAUCAUUGAUCUGCAGUGUUGGAUCAUAACUGGACUGCCGCUGAAGUUACACAAAUAGGGAAGCGUGGAUGUGGACAAUAGUCGGGCUACCAAACUGACCAUCUCGAGAAAGGUCAAGGUGAAAGAUGAUCUCGCCAAAGACGAAAAGUCACUCAAAUAAAGAUAAACUGACUAACUAA